UUUGCGCGACAGUUAAAAAUUAGCACAGUAUCCAGGAGCCUAUUCAGGAGUGAGCUCGCGAAGGUCGGAGAGGAGUUUUACAUCAGCAACUAAUGAUGGGGCAAGCUCUCAAGAAAAAUAAGAAGAAGAAGAAGGCCUCAGAUGAGGAGAAUGGCGACAAUAAAUUACAAUUUGACAGGCUGUGGUAAUUGCAAGAAAUUUGAGAACAUGAUUCUCUCUGAUGGCAACAAUAGACCAACUACUUUGCUUAAGUUUGACAAUAGCAAGAUAUUGUUUGUUAUGAUUCUGAUGAAAUACAGUAGUAACAUAAAAGAAAAAGGUCAAUAUUACUCUACAAUAUUCAUUAGAACUAAGUAAAAAAUGUUUUAGUCUAUUAGUUUUUAUGCCCUGCAGAAGAAGUAAUUUGUUAUAAAAUCCAGUUUAAAAUUGGAUAGCAUAUUUUAUCAUCAACAAUGUAAAAUGUUAACUAUGUUAUAAUUAUGAUUCAUAUUACUGGUGGAAGUGUCAUUGAUGGGAUAUUUUGUAAUAAUGAUACAAAUUUUCAUUAUAAUAUUUGAUUAUAUUUGUAUAGUAGGGCAGAAAUAAUACCAUAGCAGCGUUGUAUGGACUAACAGUACUUUAGAAAAAUCUACUAUUCUACAAUAGAAAAUAUUACAUAGCAUAAAAAAAGUUAAAUGUUUUUCCAUAUUUAAUAUUUUUGCACUGUUUUCUAAUAGAUAUGUUCAAUAAGCACCUAAUUUGCUCUUAUUCUUCCUUCUAGUAUUUUAAUAUUCCCUAAUUUAUUGAUUCAUUUUGCAGUUUAUAUUUUAUUAUUGUUAAUGCUAAAAAAUGUUUGUUUUCCCAAUUUGUUUUAGCGUCAUAAAUGCACAAAAAUAAUACUCGUUUUUUUUGUACUAAUACAUACAAAGAAAGAAUGAAUAAAAGAAAACAGACUCAUAAUUGGAA
This is a long non-coding RNA of Anneissia japonica, 945 nucleotides long. RefSeq lists it as uncharacterized. NCBI's taxonomy places the organism in Eukaryota, Metazoa, Echinodermata, Crinoidea, Comatulida, Comatulidae. The transcript has 3 exons. The record is from RefSeq and is a predicted model, not a curated record.